This 392-nucleotide ribosomal RNA is filed under the name Alectorobius guaporensis. RNAcentral describes it as "Ornithodoros guaporensis partial 16S ribosomal RNA". The record is from RNAcentral. Lineage: Eukaryota; Metazoa; Arthropoda; Arachnida; Ixodida; Argasidae.
GGUAAUUUGACUAUACGAAGGUAUUGAAAUAAGGUUUUAAUUGAAUGCUAAGAGAAUGGUUGAACAGGGAUUAGCUUUCUUUUUUUUUAAAAUGGAAUUUAAUUUGUAAGUGAAAAAGCUUAUAUGAGUUUUUGGGACAAGAAGACCCUAUGAAUUUUUUUUAAAAAUUUAUUUGCUGUUGUUAAAGGAAAAUGAAGUUUAUUUUUAAGUUGAUUGGGGUGAUUUUUAAAAGUUUUUUAACUUUAAAAAGGAAGGAAUUGGAACCAUAAAUUGUGGUUUUUUGAUUAAAAUACUCUAGGGAUAACAGCGUUAUUAUUUUGGAUAGUUCAUAUAGAUAAAAUAGUUUGCGACCUCGAUGUUGGAUUAAGAUUCUUUUAUAGUGAAGAAGUUAU